GACGAACGCUGGCGGCGCGCCUAACACAUGCAAGUCGAACGAGCGAGAGGGAGCUUGCUUUCUCGAGCGAGUGGCGAACGGGUGAGUAACGCGUGAGGAACCUGCCUCAAAGAGGGGGACAACAGUUGGAAACGACUGCUAAUACCGCAUAAGCCCACGGUGCCGCAUGGCACAGAGGGAAAAGGAGCAAUCCGCUUUGAGAUGGCCUCGCGUCCGAUUAGCUAGUUGGUGAGGUAAUGGCCCACCAAGGCGACGAUCGGUAGCCGGACUGAGAGGUUGAACGGCCACAUUGGGACUGAGACACGGCCCAGACUCCUACGGGAGGCAGCAGUGGGGAAUAUUGCACAAUGGGGGAAACCCUGUUGCAGCGACGCCGCGUGGAGGAAGAAGGUCUUCGGAUUGUAAACUCCUGUUGUUGGGGAAGAUAAUGACGGUACCCAACAAGGAAGUGACGGCUAACUACGUG
RNAcentral lists this ribosomal RNA (466 nucleotides) under uncultured bacterium. RNAcentral describes it as "partial 16S ribosomal RNA". It matches the Rfam family "Bacterial small subunit ribosomal RNA", at positions 28 to 507 of the family's 1533-position model. The record is from RNAcentral.